CCUACGGGUGGCAGCAGUGAGGAAUAUUGGUCAAUGGACGAGAGUCUGAACCAGCCAAGUAGCGUGAAGGAUGACUGCCCUAUGGGUUGUAAACUUCUUUUAUAAAGGAAUAAAACGAGGCACGUGUGCCCGUUUGCAUGUACUUUAUGAAUAAGGAUCGGCUAACUCCGUGCCAGAAGCCGCGGUAAUACGGAGGAACCGAGCGUUAACCGGGUUUAAUGGGUUUAAAGGGAGCGUAGGUGGGUUGUUAAGUCAGUUGUGAAAGUUUGGGGCUUAACCGUGAGAUUGCAAUUGAUACUGGCAGGCUCGAGUACAGGUGAGGUAUGCGGAAUGCGUGGUGUAGCGGUGAAAUGCUUAGAUAUCACGAAGAACCCCGAUUGCGAAGGCAGCUUACUAAACUCUGACUGACAUUGAUGCUCGAAAGUGUGGGUAUCGAACAGGAUUAGAUACCCCAGUAGUC
Molecule: ribosomal RNA, 460 nt
Filed under: uncultured bacterium
Lineage: Bacteria
Description: partial 16S ribosomal RNA
Rfam family: Bacterial small subunit ribosomal RNA
Source: RNAcentral